AAACUAACAAGGAUUCCCCUAGUAACGGCGAGUGAAGCGGGAUGAGCUCAAAUUUGUAAUCUGGUGGACUCAGUUCAUCCGAGUUGUAAUCUAUAGAAGUGUUUUCCGCGCUGGACCGUGUCUAAGUCCCUUGGAACAGGGUGUCAGAGAGGGUGAGAAUCCCGUGCUUGAUACGACCACCAGUGCUAUGUGAUACACUUUCAACGAGUCGAGUUGUUUGGGAAUGCAGCUCAAAAUGGGUGGUAAAUUCCAUCUAAAGCUAAAUAUUGGCGAGAGACCGAUAGCGAACAAGUACCGUGAGGGAAAGAUGAAAAGCACUUUGGAAAGAGAGUUAAACAGUACGUGAAAUUGUUAAAAGGGAAACGAUUGAAGUCAGUCGUGCUCUCUGGGACUCAGCCGGUUCUUCCGGUGUACUUCCCAGUGAGCGGGUCAACAUCAGUUUAGAUCGCUGGAUAAAGGUAUUAGGAAGGUGGCUCCCUCGGGAGUGUUAUAGCCUAGUAUCGCAUACAGUGGUUUAGACUGAGGAACGCAGCUCGCCUUUAUGGCCGGGGUUCGCCCACGUCCGAGCUUAGGAUGUUGACAUAAUGGCUUUAAACGAC
RNAcentral lists this ribosomal RNA (599 nucleotides) under Holtermanniella wattica. RNAcentral's name for it is "LSU rRNA". It matches the Rfam family "Eukaryotic large subunit ribosomal RNA", at positions 62 to 648 of the family's 3401-position model. The record is from RNAcentral. Lineage: Eukaryota; Fungi; Basidiomycota; Tremellomycetes; Holtermanniales.